UUCUGGAAAAACUAGGCUGGAAAGCAUCUGCAAAGAAGUUGAUAGGAGCUUUCUGGAAAUGAUAACAGGAAGAUCGUGCCAACCAUCAUUUUAGACAUUUGAAUAGAAUUAGAACAGGUACUGUGUUUUUUUGUUUUUUUUGUUUGUUUGUUUGGUUUUUGUCUUUUUGCUAUUUCUUGGGCCGCUCCCACGGCAUAUGGAGAUUCCCAGGCCAGGGGUCGAAUCGGAGCUGUAGCCACCGGCCUACGCCACAGCCACAGCAACGCGGGAUCCGAGCCGCAUCUGCAACCUACACCACAGCUCACCACAACGCCGGAUCGUUAACCCACUGAGCAACGCCAGGGAUCGAACCCGCAACCUCAUGGUUCCUAGUCGGAUUCGUUAACCUCUGCUCCACGACGGGAACUCCUAGAACAGGUACUGUGUUUUAAAGAGUGCCUUUGCCGUGUGGACACCCUGUUAAGUUUUGCCUGUGCCUAAGAUAUGCCAGAAGUGCACACAUCAGCUUUGGAUGUAAAAAUUGUCAUUUCCAUACAAUGUUGCUUUAUAAUCAGGUUCCAGGUGCUGCUUGGAGAUGCAGAGGAACCAGAGUAUUCUCCAGCCCAUCUGAAAAGGAAGAAACAUCAGGCAACAGCUAGGAGGUGGCCUUUGCAGAUUCCUGGGUGGGAUGGGGGUGGAGGUAGGGGUGGGGGUGGAGGGUCAGGGGUCAUCCUCCAUCCUCUGGGGGCCUCUAGGCUCCGCAUUCAGAGAAUUAAUUCUUUGUACGAGAGCCCUCCUGGUAACCUGCCUCUUACCCCGUGGCCGUCCUGGAGCCUGCAGCCUUGAUUCUGGUGCUUGGAAUCUAACUUAGAGACAGUUACUGACAUGUAAUGGAAAGCAUGAGAAAAGAAUGAUGUAUUGGGGCCACUUGGAUAGCUCUCCUAAAAAGCUGUGCCCGGGCACUCUUCCUGAAAUAUUACAUUUAUGUUCUCACAGAGCCCACAGGCCCAAAGGGUACAAAUAGCCAAACGCUGCUCUAGGAAACUCUCCAGGGUUUUUGCUGUACCUUUUAUUGAGUGCGAUUGCAUUAUCUAAUGAAUAAUCAAUGUUCAGCUGACACCUGAGAGUCCACACACUAAUUCCGAACUAAAAGGACGGAUUUGUUCUCCGUUUCUGAUCUUUACCAUGGAGCAUAUUCUCCUAACACUGAACCUGUCUGCCUUUGGCUCAGACCCUCAGCCCACUGAGUUUCAGUGGUCACAUCCAGAACCACAGAUGUUAGGGUUUAGGAGCGUUGAACAAUGUACAAAUUACUGGACUUUCCUGAGACUUUAACCCGCCAUUAACUUUAGCGCCUUUACUUUUCCUCAUUCAUUCAUUCAUUCAUUCACUCUCAACAAAGAUUUCUUUUCUUUUCUUUUUUGCUUUUUAGGGCCCCACCGGUGGCCCACGGAAGUUCCCAGGCUCGGGGUUGAGGCGGAGCUACAGCUGCCAGCCUACACCACAGCCACAGCUACGCCAGAUCCGAGCUGCCUCUGCGACCUACAUCACACCUCAUGGCAAUGCUGGAUCCUUAACCCACUGAGUCAGGCCAGGGAUCGAACCUGCAUCCUCAUGGAUGUUGUCAGAUUCGUUUCCGCUGCACCACAACGGGAACUCACUUGACCAAGAUUUCUUGGACAGCACCCCUUCCCCGCCUGAGGAAGGAUUUUGGUUGGUUCGGUCCCUGACUCUAGGAGUUUAUGGUAGUUGAGGAUCCAGGAUGUGGCAGUAACUCAUCUCGACUUUAGACUUUCUCUCCCUGGGUCUCAGAUGUUGGAACGAACCAUGUCUCUGAUUUCUCAGAGCCUGGAGCUUCAGGGUCAAGGCCUGGCUCUCCCGGGUAUUGUACUGCUUGCUGGUGGCAAAGCUGAGUGUGGAUUUUGCCCUAGAGAAGAGAAUGUCUUUCAACUUUUCACUUCGGAGAAGUCCGGCGGGGUGCGUUGGAGCCCCUGGAGGGAAAGAACCUUAUUUCCUUCAUCUUUGCUUUCUCAGUGUCUGGCACAAAGCCAAGCAUAGAGCACGGGGCUUUUGAAAUGAAUAGAAGGUGAAUGGCCCUAGUUGCUCAAAGUGUGUAUUUUACUCUGGGAUCCAUGGGGUCAUCAUCCCAGAUGAAGAGACCCUUUGUUGUUCCAGCACGUGGUUCUGCUUCUGAAAUGGAGACAGGAAAGGGGGAGGCAUCCGCUCCGCACAGGUGCCGCCAAACCGGAUGUGACCCGACGUGCCAUGCAGCAUAGCCUGUGUCCUCUGUUCUGCGGAAAGUUGCGGACACUCAGCUGCAGAGUUUCUGUUGUGGCUCAGGUGGUUAAGAACAUGACUGGUGGAGCUCUUUUCGUGGCUCAGCAGAAAUGAAUCUGACUAGUAUCCACAAGGAUGCAGGUUCCAUCCCUGGCCUCGCUCAGUGGGUUAAGGAUCCAGUGUUGCCGGGAGCUGUGGUGUCGGUUGCAGACACAGCUCGGAUCUGGCGUGGCUGUGGCUGGCAGCUAUAGCUCCGAUUUGACCCCUAGCCUGGGAACCUCCAUAUGCCUCAGGUGUGGCCCUAAAAAGACAGGAAAAAAAAAAAAAAGCACCCAACUACUAUCCAUGAAGAUGGGGAUUCCAUCCCUGGCCUCGAUCACUGGGUUCAGGAUCCAGUGUUGCUGCAGGCUGUGGUGUGGGUCACAGAAUCGGCUCAGAUCAUGGGUUGCUGUGGCUGUGGUGUAGGCCAGCAGCUGAAACUCUGAUUUGACCCCUUGCCUGGAAACUUCCACAUGUCCCAGGUGCGGCUCUAAAAAGC
Molecule: long non-coding RNA, 2794 nt
Filed under: Sus scrofa (pig)
Lineage: Eukaryota; Metazoa; Chordata; Mammalia; Artiodactyla; Suidae
Description: lncRNA (ENSSSCG00030032537.1)
Source: RNAcentral